Small nucleolar RNA from Amaranthus tricolor (Joseph's coat), 103 nucleotides. RefSeq annotates it as small nucleolar RNA snoR99. Lineage: Eukaryota; Viridiplantae; Streptophyta; Magnoliopsida; Caryophyllales; Amaranthaceae. The transcript has a single exon. The record is from RefSeq and is a predicted model, not a curated record.
AUGCUGAUGAGGAUAUACUAGAUCCCUAAAGAAAAUUUUCCAUUCGUUAACUUUAUCAGCUGUCAACGUUUUCUUACAGUUGAUUUUCAUGGGUGGUACAUUA